Molecule: ribosomal RNA, 459 nt
Filed under: uncultured bacterium
Lineage: Bacteria
Description: partial 16S ribosomal RNA
Rfam family: Bacterial small subunit ribosomal RNA
Source: RNAcentral
CCUACGUGUGGCAGCAGUGAGGAAUCUUGGUCAAUGGGCGGGAGCCUGAACCAGCCAAGCCGCGUGAGGGAAGAAGGUACAGCGUAUCGUAAACCUCUUUUGUCAGGGAACAAAGGCGCGGACUAGUCCCCGGAUGAGGGUACCUGAAGUAAAAGCAUCGGCUAACUCCGUGCCAGCAGACGCGGUAAGACGGAGGAUGCGAGCGUUAUCCGGAUUUAGUGGGUUUAAGGGGUGCGCAGGCGGCCUGUUAAGUCAGCGGUAAAAGCACGGGGCUCAACCCCGGCGAGCCGUGGAAACUGGCGGGCUGGAGUUUGAGAGAAGUACGCGGAAUGCGCGGUGUAGCGGUGAAAUGCUUAGAUAUCGCGCAGAACCCCGAUUGCGAAGGCAGCGGACCGGCUCCACACUGACGCUGAGGCACGAAAGCGUGGGUAGCGAACAGGAUUAGAUACCCCUGUAGUC